UGUAGGCUUUCAGAAGGUCCGGAAAAACGAUUUCCCGAACGCAUUUUCCGAUGUAUCGUGAACACAUUGUUGCAUGGGGAAGUGAACGUUUCGAUUGCGAAUGAAAAUAUCUCUGGCCGCGCAGCUGAAGACGAAGAUAGACGAGCCGAGAAAAAUGAGCCAUUAAAAAAUAUUGCGAAGGAGAGAGAGGAAGAGAUUGAAAAAAAGGAAGCGAGUUAAUACCGAGCGCCUCCCUCUCCAGCCUCGACGCUUUUUUCUCACCCCCCUCGCCAUCUGUUGAUUCCGCUCAAGUUCCGGGCGGAACGUCACUUCUUGCGGCUUCUCAGGCUCAUCCAGUAAACUCGAAAGAUCCAACCGCGGAGACGGGAUACAUGGAAAAUUCGGCCUUUUUCAAUGCAUUUUCGUUCAGGCCUCGAUCGAAGCGAAAUUGUGCAAGUUCAGUACGGAUUUGACUCUCUCGCUGAGCCACUGCUCAGCAAGCGAAAAAUACACUCGAAAAUUCAAGCCCAAGCCACCUCCGGACACGCGAACGCACCCCUGCCACUGGAGCACCCCCUUAAGGCUGGAACCUCCGAAUUAAGGACUCGACCUCUCCAACUACCUUUUCACACUCCUCCAAAGCAUCCUAACGAGGAUUAAGGCUUUUUGAACACAAUUUGAGGCGGAUUAACGUUCAUACAAAACGGCUUCACCGGAACCAACAGCCCUGACGGAUUAAGCACAUCGUUUAUUCAAUCUCGCCUCGGGCAAUUGGCCGCUCAAGACUGAUCGUGCUCUCCAUUGCUCCAACGGCUCAUGAUCUUGGGAUUUUGGAACCCGUGGAAAAUUCCUGCACCCUGGUCUGCAUGAGGAACGAGAAGGAGCGAAAAAAUUUCGAAAUUUCAAUCCUUCGGACCCUCGACCCUUAAUCGCACGAUUUUUUUUAUCCUACAACCACUUUUUUAGCUCCAAAUACAGAUUUUUCGACUCCACGUGGUCCAGAAAUUCGCAAGUUGAAUGAAAACAUGAAACGUUGGAAAAGCUGUUUUUUUAAUAAACCAAUCUAAUUUAAUGAAA
Molecule: long non-coding RNA, 1056 nt
Organism: Venturia canescens
Lineage: Eukaryota; Metazoa; Arthropoda; Insecta; Hymenoptera; Ichneumonidae
Exons: 2
Source: RefSeq, a predicted model, not a curated record